RNAcentral lists this ribosomal RNA (482 nucleotides) under uncultured bacterium. Its description in RNAcentral is "partial 16S ribosomal RNA". It matches the Rfam family "Bacterial small subunit ribosomal RNA", at positions 28 to 507 of the family's 1533-position model. The record is from RNAcentral.
GACGAACGCUGGCGGCGUGCUUAACACAUGCAAGUCGAACGAUGAAGAAGAGAAACGCGAACUUCGGUUCAAAUUUCACUUCGGAUUAGUGGCAGACGGGUGAGUAACGCGUGAGCAACCUACCUCUUACAAAGGGAUAGCCUCGGGAAACCGUGAUUAAUACCAUAUGACACAUUCAUAAGGCAUCUUAAGAAUGUUAAAGCUACGGCGGUAAGAGAUGGGCUCGCGUCCGAUUAGCUAGUUGGUGAGGUAACGGCCCACCAAGGCGACGAUGGGUAACCGGCCUGAGAGGGUGAACGGUCACAUUGGAACUGAGACACGGUCCAAACUCCUACGGGAAGCAGCAGUGGGGAAUAUUGCACAAUGGAGGGAACUCUGAUGCAGCGACGCCGCGUGAGCGAUGAAGGAAUUCGUUUCGUAAAGCUCUGUUCUAUGGGAAGAAAAGGACUGUACCAUAGGAGAAAGCCCCGGCUAAAUACGUG